This 535-nucleotide ribosomal RNA is filed under the name uncultured bacterium. RNAcentral describes it as "bacterial SSU rRNA". It matches the Rfam family "Bacterial small subunit ribosomal RNA", at positions 355 to 900 of the family's 1533-position model. The record is from RNAcentral.
UGGGGAAUCUUGCGCAAUGGGCGAAAGCCUGACGCAGCAACGCCGCGUGGGGGAUGAAGGCCUUCGGGUUGUAAACCCCUUUCAGCAGGGACGAAACUGACGGUACCUGCAGAAGAAGCCCCGGCCAACUACGUGCCAGCAGCCGCGGUAAUACGUAGGGGGCGAGCGUUGUCCGGAUUCAUUGGGCGUAAAAGAGCUCGUAGGCGGCUUGGCAAGUCGGGUGUGAAACCUCCAGGGCUCAACCUGGAGAUGCCACUCGAUACUGCCAUGGCUAGAGUCCGGUAGGGGGACCACGGAAUUCCUGGUGUAGCGGUGAAAUGCGCAGAUAUCAGGAGGAACACCGGUGGCGAAGGCGGUGGUCUGGGCCGGUACUGACGCUGAGGAGCGAAAGCGUGGGUAGCAAACAGGAUUAGAUACCCUGGUAGUCCACGCCGUAAACGUUGGGCACUAGGUGUGGGGCCUUAUCAACGGGUUCCGUGCCGCAGCUAACGCAUUAAGUGCCCCGCCUGGGGAGUACGGCCGCAAGGCUAAAAAC